This 460-nucleotide ribosomal RNA is filed under the name uncultured bacterium. RNAcentral describes it as "partial 16S ribosomal RNA". It matches the Rfam family "Bacterial small subunit ribosomal RNA", at positions 338 to 795 of the family's 1533-position model. The record is from RNAcentral.
CCUACGGGGGGCAGCAGUGAGGAAUAUUGGUCAAUGGGCGCAAGCCUGAACCAGCCAAGUAGCGUGCAGGAUGACUGCCCUACGGGUUGUAAACUUCUUUUAUACGGGAAUAACGCGCAUUACGUAUACUGCUUUGCAUGUACCGUAUGAAUAAGGACCGGCUAAUUCCGUGCCAGCAGCCGCGGUAAUACGGAGGAUCCGAGCGUUAUCCGGAUUUAUUGGGUUUAAAGGGAGCGUAGGCGGGGUGUUAAGCCUGUUGUGAAAGUUUGCGGCUCAACCGUAAAAUUGCAGUGGAUACUGGCAUCCUUGAGUACAGUAGAGGUAGGCGGAAUUCGUGGUGUAGCGGUGAAAUGCUUAGAUAUCACGAAGAACUCCGAUUGCGAAGGCAGCCUGCUGGACUGUAACUGACGCUGAUGCUCGAAAGUGUGGGUAUCAAACAGGAUUAGAUACCCCUGUAGUC